UGGGAACGUGCCUUUUGGUUCGGAACAACCCAGGGAAACUUGGGCUAAUACCGGAUAAGCCCUUACGGGGAAAGAUUUAUCGCCAAAAGAUCGGCCCGCGUCUGAUUAGCUAGUUGGUGGGUAAUGGCCCACCAAAGGGCCU
This 142-nucleotide ribosomal RNA is filed under the name uncultured bacterium. Its description in RNAcentral is "partial 16S ribosomal RNA". It matches the Rfam family "Bacterial small subunit ribosomal RNA", at positions 118 to 276 of the family's 1533-position model. The record is from RNAcentral.